GAUGAACGCUAGCGACAGGCUUAACACAUGCAAGUCGAGGGGCAGCACAGGUAGCAAUACCGGGUGGCGACCGGCGCACGGGUGAGUAACGCGUAUGCAACUUACCUAUCAGAGGGGGAUAACCCGGCGAAAGUCGGACUAAUACCGCAUGAAGCAGGGGUCCCGCAUGGGGAUAUUUGCUAAAGAUUCAUCGCUGAUAGAUAGGCAUGCGUUCCAUUAGGCAGUUGGCGGGGUAACGGCCCACCAAACCGACGAUGGAUAGGGGUUCUGAGAGGAAGGUCCCCCACAUUGGUACUGAGACACGGACCAAACUCCUACGGGAGGCAGCAGUGAGGAAUAUUGGUCAAUGGGCGUAAGCCUGAACCAGCCAAGUCGCGUGAGGGAUGAAGGUUCUAUGGAUCGUAAACCUCUUUUAUAAGGGAAUAAAGUGCGGGACGUGUCCCGUUUUGUAUGUACCUUAUGAAUAAGGAUCGGCUAACUCCGUGCCAGCAGCCGCGGUAAUACGGAGGAUCCGAGCGUUAUCCGGAUUUAUUGGGUUUAAAGGGUGCGUAGGCGGCCUUUUAAGUCAGCGGUGAAAGUCUGUGGCUCAACCAUAGAAUUGCCGUUGAAACUGGGAGGCUUGAGUAUGUUUGAGGCAGGCGGAAUGCGUGGUGUAGCGGUGAAAUGCUUAGAUAUCACGCAGAACCCCGAUUGCGAAGGCAGCCUGCCAAGCCAUGACUGACGCUGAUGCACGAAAGCGUGGGGAUCAAACAGGAUUAGAUACCCUGGUAGUCCACGCAGUAAACGAUGAUCACUAGCUGUUUGCGAUACAGUGUAAGCGGCACAGCGAAAGCGUUAAGUGAUCCACCUGGGGAGUACGCCGGCAACGGUGAAACUCAAAGGAAUAGACGGGGGCCCGCACAAGCGGAGGAACAUGUGGUUUAAUUCGAUGAUACGCGAGGAACCUUACCCGGGUUUGAACGCAUUCGGACCGAGGUGGAAACACCUUUUCUAGCAAUAGCCGUUUGCGAGGUGGUGCAUGGUUGUCGUCAGCUCGUGCCGUGGGGUGUCGGCUUAAGUGCCAUAACGAGCGCAACCCUCGCCACUAGUUACUAACAGGUGAUGCUGAGGACUCUGGUGGGACUGCCAGCGUAAGCUGCGAGGAAGGCGGGGAGGACGUCAAAUCAGCACGGCCCUUACAUCCGGGGCGACACACGUGUUACAAUGGCGUGGACAAAGGGAUGCCACCUGGCGACAGGGAGCGAAUCCCCAAACCACGUCUCAGUUCGGAUCGGAGUGUGCAACCCGACUCCGUGAAGCUGGAUUCGCUAGUAAUCGCGCAUCAGCCAUGGCGCGGUGAAAAAGUUCCCGGGCCUUGUACA
RNAcentral lists this ribosomal RNA (1361 nucleotides) under uncultured bacterium. Its description in RNAcentral is "bacterial SSU rRNA". It matches the Rfam family "Bacterial small subunit ribosomal RNA", at positions 28 to 1387 of the family's 1533-position model. The record is from RNAcentral.